UGGCUACAGAACGACGCUGGCGGCAGGCCUCAAACAUGCAAGUCUAGGGGGUGUAGCAAUACAUCACCGGCGGACGGGUGCGUAACGCGUGGGAAUAUACCUAUCGAUUCGGAACAACUGAGGGAAACUUCAGCUAAUACCGAAUACGUCCUAACGGAGAAAGAUUUAUCGUCGAUAGAUUAGCCCGCGUUCGAUUAGCUAGUUGGUGGGGUAACGGCCCACCAAGGCGACGAUCGAUAGCUGUUCUGAGAGGAAGAUCAGCCACACUGGGACUGAGACACGGCCCAGACUCCUACGGGAGGCAGCAGUUGGGAAUCUUGGACAAUGGGGGAAACCCUGAUCCAGCCAUGCCGCGUGAGUGAUGAAGGCCUUCGGGUUGUAAAACUCUUUCGCGCACGACGAUAAUGACGGUAGUGCGAGAAGAAGCUCCGGCUAACUUCGUG
Molecule: ribosomal RNA, 443 nt
Filed under: uncultured bacterium
Lineage: Bacteria
Description: bacterial SSU rRNA
Rfam family: Bacterial small subunit ribosomal RNA
Source: RNAcentral